GGGGAGUACGGGCCGCAAGGUUAAAACUCAAAUGAAUUGACGGGGGCCCGCACAAGCGGUGGAGCAUGUGGUUUAAUUCGAUGCAACGCGAAGAACCUUACCUACCCUUGACAUCCUGCGAACCCGGAAGAGAUUCCGGGGUGCCUUCGGGAGCGCAGAGACAGGUGCUGCAUGGCUGUCGUCAGCUCGUGUUGUGAAAUGUUGGGUUAAGUCCCGUAACGAGCGCAACCCUUGUCCCUAUUUGCCAGCGAUUCGGUCGGGAACUCUAGGGAGACUGCCGGUGACAAACCGGAGGAAGGUGGGGACGACGUCAAGUCAUCAUGGCCCUUACGGGUAGGGCUACACACGUGCUACAAUGGCCGGUACAAAGGGUUGCGAAGCCGCGAGGUGAAGCCAAUCCCAGAAAGCCGGCCUCAGUCCGGAUUGGAGUCUGCAACUCGACUCCAUGAAGUCGGAAUCGCUAGUAAUCGUGCAUCAGAAUGGCACGGUGAAUACGUUCCCGGGCCUUGUACACACCGCCCGUCACACCAUGGGAGUGGACUGCACCAGAAGUGGUUAGCCUAACUUCGGAGGGCGAUCACCACGGUGUGGUUCAUGACUGGGGUGAAGUCGUAACAAGGUAGCCGUAGGGGAACCUGCGGCUGGAUCACCUCCUU
RNAcentral lists this ribosomal RNA (656 nucleotides) under uncultured Chromohalobacter sp. RNAcentral describes it as "bacterial SSU rRNA". It matches the Rfam family "Bacterial small subunit ribosomal RNA", at positions 875 to 1532 of the family's 1533-position model. The record is from RNAcentral. Lineage: Bacteria; Pseudomonadati; Pseudomonadota; Gammaproteobacteria; Oceanospirillales; Halomonadaceae.